This 481-nucleotide ribosomal RNA is filed under the name uncultured bacterium. RNAcentral's name for it is "bacterial SSU rRNA". It matches the Rfam family "Bacterial small subunit ribosomal RNA", at positions 26 to 518 of the family's 1533-position model. The record is from RNAcentral.
AGGACGAACGCUGGCGGCAUGCCUAACACAUGCAAGUCGAACGGAGUAUCAGGGGCUUGCUCUUGACACUUAGUGGCGAACGGGUGAGUAACGCGUGAGCAACCUGCCUUCAAAACCGGGAUAACACAGAGAAAUUUGUGCUAAUACCGGAUAAGACCACAGUGUCGCAUGACACAGUGGUAAAAACUCAGGUGAUUGAAGAGGGGCUCGCGACCCAUUAGCUUGUUGGCGGGAUAACAGCCCACCAAGGCGACGAUGGGUAGCCGACUUGAGAGAGUGAUCGGCCACACUGGAACUGAGACACGGUCCAGACUCCUACGGGAGGCAGCAGUGGGGAAUAUUGGGCAAUGGAGGAAACUCUUACCCAAGCAAUGCCGCGUGAGUGAAGAAGGUCGUAAGAUUGUAAAGCUCUUUAAUUGGGGACGAAGACAGUGACGGUACCCAAAGAAUAAGCCCCGGCUAACUACGUGCCAGCAGCAGC